RNAcentral lists this ribosomal RNA (385 nucleotides) under uncultured bacterium. RNAcentral's name for it is "bacterial SSU rRNA". It matches the Rfam family "Bacterial small subunit ribosomal RNA", at positions 28 to 418 of the family's 1533-position model. The record is from RNAcentral.
GACGAACGCUGGCGGCGUGCUUAACACAUGCAAGUCGAACGGAAAGGCCCAGCUUGCUGGGUACUCGAGUGGCGAACGGUGAGUAACACGUGGGUGAUCUGCCCCAAACUUCGGGAUAAGCCUGGGAAACUGGGUCUAAUACCGGAUAUGACCUGCUCCUGCAUGGGGUUGUGGAAAGCUUUUGCGGUUUGGGAUGGACCCGCGGCCUAUCAGCUUGUUGGUGGGGUAAUGGCCUACCAAGGCGACGACGGGUAGCCGACCUGAGGGGUGAUCGGCCACACUGGGACUGAGACACGGCCCAGACUCCUACGGGAGCAGCAGUGGGGAAUAUUGCACAAUGGGCGCAAGCCUGAUGCAGCGACGCCGCGUGAGGGAUGACGGCCUU